GAUGAACGCUGGCGGCGUGCCUAAUACAUGCAAGUCGAGCGAACAGACGAGGAGCUUGCUCCUCUGACGUUAGCGGCGGACGGGUGAGUAACACGUGGAUAACCUACCUAUAUGACUGGGAUAACUUCGGGAAACCGGAGAUACUACUGGAUAAUAUAUUGAACCGCAUGGAUCAAUAGAGAAUGACGGUUUUGCUGUCACUUAUAGAUGGAUCCGCGCCGCAUUAGCUAGUUGGUAAGGUAACGGCCUACCAAGGCAACGAUGCGUAGCCGACCUGAGAGGAUGAUCGGCCACACUGGAACUGAGACACGGUCCAGACUCCUACGGGAGGCAGCAGUAGGGAAUAUUGCGCAAUGGGCGAAAGCCUGACGGAGCAACGCCGCGUGAGUGAUGAAGGUCUUCGGAUCGUAAAACUCUGUUAUUAGGGAAGAACAAAUGUGUAAUUAACUAUGCACGUCUUGACGGUACCUAAUCAGAAAGCCACGGCUAACUACGUG
RNAcentral lists this ribosomal RNA (497 nucleotides) under uncultured bacterium. RNAcentral's name for it is "partial 16S ribosomal RNA". It matches the Rfam family "Bacterial small subunit ribosomal RNA", at positions 28 to 507 of the family's 1533-position model. The record is from RNAcentral.